AACAAACCACGCUCGGCCCGACGGCCCCUUCCCAAGCCUGACCGGCGGCAUGGCAGCUCUAACCGGUGGAUCGAUGGAGAGAGAAGACCCUUGAUUGAUUCGAGGACCCUGUCCAACUAGUCGGCGGAUCAGUCGCGUUGGGAUCGACGCUCCCAGACUUCCAAGACUUACUUCAAGACUGUACCGCCAAGAUGCCUCAGGGGUCAUGGCCGAUUGAGGGGUGUACGACGAUGCGCCACUCGCGCUGGGGUUGUUCUGAAAUUUAAUUUGCCCAUUGAGGUCCACGCUAAGCAAGAUAUAUAUACCAGGGCCAUGUUCGAGCAGUUUGGGGCUUCACUAUGUGACUCUAGGCAGUACCUGCUGGAGGAGGUAAAAGACGGGGAAUUGUUCAUCGCAAGGCACUCUAGGGCUACUGAGAAGGAGAAAUGGUGCAAGGUGAUGUUCCAGGUGAGAGUUCACAAGGCAACGGAUUUGUUCGAAUGUGAGUGCGGAUUCUUCGAGCAUUCUGGGUUUCUGUGUGGGCACGCUCUGAAGGUGGGUGUGACUCGCGAGGGGGUUACGGGUGGUUGAAGGCAUUCGUACCAAGCCUAGGUGCCAGCUGGUAGCCGAAUGGGAGAUGUGUGGCGGAAGGUUGCGACAAAUGUGGAUGAGGCCUACCGGCCCAAGAGAGAGAAGACUAAAACAUGGGCGUGACCCGUGAGGGGGUUAUGGGUGGUUGAAGGCUUUCGUACCAAGCCUAGGCGCCAGCUGGUCACUGAAUAGCAGAUGUGCGGCCCAAGGUUGCGACAAUGCGGUCUACUGGGUCUGUCAGCCACACCUUCCAUAUCCCCCAGCCCGAUCAGAGAAGCUGUGUUGCUGGAAAAUAACCCACGGUAGGUUCUUGUCCUCCUGAUCCCAUGACAAUGAGAUCUGCUUCCUUAUCACUAUCGAGGCAAGGUUGCGACGCGGCAUGCAUGCCAGAUCAGAGGCGCAUUUCUUAAAUGGAGCAUCAAUCACAAGUACACGGAGCAAUUGGAGCAGUAGCAAAGUAGCGGCCGGCGCGUUAGCAUGAGUAGGAGGAAGGCCACAAUACCGGUGGGGUGAAGGCCUAGAGGCGCAGCAGCAUGUCUGGGCAGCGCCGGUCCAUCUCAUCAGUGGCCAUGGCUGGGUGCGGCAGGUUUAGAUCGGGUAUCCACGGGUGCCUUUACAUGUCGUUAAGAUUGCACCUUUAGGGUUACCUUUCUCCCCCACUUUUGAGUUGAGUCUAUUCUUUCUCGAUCUCCAUUAGCCCCAAGUUCCAAAGCUCAAAUAACUUCUCAUCCCUUCUCAAAUCAAACCAAUUCUUUGAGGGAAAAUUGAGAGGAGUCUUAGAUCCACAAUCUUCCACAAGAAGGAUUCAUUCCUCUUUGAAUUUCAUCACUUGAUUAGUUACUCUUGGAGUUGUGGGGACUCCUAGACGCUUGGAGUCCGUCCUGUGAGCUUCCAAAGCAGGUGUGGAUUCGCUCCGGAUCAAGUUUGUGAGGGUUUGGAGGCCACCUCAAGACCCACCACUAGUGAAGUGAGCUACUAUUUCAUUUGGGGAGCUCAAGGAAACUGAAGGUGAGACUUCGUGGCGUUGGGGUCCUUUGUGGUAUAGUACACACCUCUCCAGACGGUGAACAAUUCUCUCCCAACAGAUUGAACAUCGGGUUAUGUCUUCGUCUCCGUCUGAUUCAGUUAUUUCUAUCCUAACUUUU
Brachypodium distachyon (stiff brome) is the source of this 1715-nucleotide long non-coding RNA. RefSeq lists it as uncharacterized. The record is from RefSeq and is a predicted model, not a curated record. The transcript is spliced from 4 exons. NCBI's taxonomy places the organism in Eukaryota, Viridiplantae, Streptophyta, Magnoliopsida, Poales, Poaceae.